AUGAUACAAACAGCACACAAGAGGAAGCUGCCUGUCGUUGCUCUCAAGCUGGAUUUCCGCAAGGCGUUCGAUUCUGUCAGCUGGGAUUGCCUUACACAAAUCUUGAGCAUCAGGGGCUUCCCUGCUAGGUGGAUACAGUGAAUCCAUGCACUUCUUUCAACUGGAUGAUCUAGAGUACUGAUGAAUGGCAAGGUGGAUGCUCCAAUUCAUGCAAAGCGGGGUUUUAGGUAGGGUGACUCCAUAUCACCUUACCUCUUUAUUUUGGUGGCUAAUGUGCUAUAAAGACUA
This 288-nucleotide ribosomal RNA is filed under the name Triticum aestivum (bread wheat). Its description in RNAcentral is "partial small subunit ribosomal RNA". The record is from RNAcentral. Lineage: Eukaryota; Viridiplantae; Streptophyta; Magnoliopsida; Poales; Poaceae.